AUGCUUAUGUCUUGCACUUGAUACUAAAAUGGAAUGAUACAGAGAUUAGCAUGGCCCCUGCACAAGGAUGAUGUGCAAAUUUGUGAAGCAUUUCAUGUAAAA
This 102-nucleotide small nuclear RNA is filed under the name Vulpes vulpes (red fox). The record is from RNAcentral. Lineage: Eukaryota; Metazoa; Chordata; Mammalia; Carnivora; Canidae.